GGGGAAAAGGGCGCGCUGCCUCUACAUGCAAGUCGAACGAGUUCUCGUUGAUGAUCGGUGCUUGCACCGAGAUUCAACAUGGAACGAGUGGCGGACGGGUGAGUAACACGUGGGUAACCUGCCCUUAAGUGGGGGAUAACAUUUGGAAACAGAUGCUAAUACCGCAUAGAUCCAAGAACCGCAUGGUUCUUGGCUGAAAGAUGGCGUAAGCUAUCGCUUUUGGAUGGACCCGCGGCGUAUUAGCUAGUUGGUGAGGUAAUGGCUCACCAAGGCGAUGAUACGUAGCCGAACUGAGAGGUUGAUCGGCCACAUUGGGACUGAGACACGGCCCAAACUCCUACGGGAGGCAGCAGUAGGGAAUCUUCCACAAUGGACGCAAGUCUGAUGGAGCAACGCCGCGUGAGUGAAGAAGGCUUUCGGGUCGUAAAACUCUGUUGUUGGAGAAGAAUGGUCGGCAGAGUAACUGUUGUCGGCGUGACGGUAUCCAACCAGAAAGCCACGGCUAACUACGUGCCAGCAGCCGCGGUAAUACGUAGGUGGCAAGCGUUAUCCGGAUUUAUUGGGCGUAAAGCGAGCGCAGGCGGUUUUUUAAGUCUGAUGUGAAAGCCCUCGGCUUAACCGAGGAAGCGCAUCGGAAACUGGGAAACUUGAGUGCAGAAGAGGACAGUGGAACUCCAUGUGUAGCGGUGAAAUGCGUAGAUAUAUGGAAGAACACCAGUGGCGAAGGCGGCUGUCUGGUCUGUAACUGACGCUGAGGCUCGAAAGCAUGGGUAGCGAACAGGAUUAGAUACCCUGGUAGUCCAUGCCGUAAACGAUGAAUGCUAGGUGUUGGAGGGUUUCCGCCCUUCAGUGCCGCAGCUAACGCAUUAAGCAUUCCGCCUGGGGAGUACGACCGCAAGGUUGAAACUCAAAGGAAUUGACGGGGGCCCGCACAAGCGGUGGAGCAUGUGGUUUAAUUCGAAGCAACGCGAAGAACCUUACCAGGUCUUGACAUCUUUUGAUCACCUGAGAGAUCAGGUUUCCCCUUCGGGGGCAAAAUGACAGGUGGUGCAUGGUUGUCGUCAGCUCGUGUCGUGAGAUGUUGGGUUAAGUCCCGCAACGAGCGCAACCCUUAUGACUAGUUGCCAGCAUUUAGUUGGGCACUCUAGUAAGACUGCCGGUGACAAACCGGAGGAAGGUGGGGAUGACGUCAAAUCAUCAUGCCCUUUUUGACCGGGGCUAACACCGGGCUACAAGGGUGGGGCAACCAAUUUGCGAAACCGCGAG
Molecule: ribosomal RNA, 1266 nt
Filed under: Lacticaseibacillus paracasei
Lineage: Bacteria; Bacillati; Bacillota; Bacilli; Lactobacillales; Lactobacillaceae
Description: bacterial SSU rRNA
Rfam family: Bacterial small subunit ribosomal RNA
Source: RNAcentral